RNAcentral lists this ribosomal RNA (490 nucleotides) under marine bacterium SIMO IS-S73-244. RNAcentral's name for it is "bacterial SSU rRNA". It matches the Rfam family "Bacterial small subunit ribosomal RNA", at positions 71 to 555 of the family's 1533-position model. The record is from RNAcentral. RNAcentral also lists the same sequence under 1 other name. Lineage: Bacteria; Pseudomonadati; Pseudomonadota; Gammaproteobacteria.
AGAGAGAAGCUUGCUUCUCUUGAGAGCGGCGGACGGGUGAGUAACGCGUAGGAAUCUACCUGGUAGUGGGGGACAACAUUCGGAAACGGAUGCUAAUACCGCAUACGCCCUACGGGGGAAAGGAGGGGAUCUUCGGACCUUUCGCUAUCAGAUGAGCUCUGCGUAGGAUUAGCUAGUUGGUGGGGUAAAGGCCCACCAAGGCGACGAUCCUUAGCUGGUCUGAGAGGAUGACCAGCCACACUGGGACUGAGACACGGCCCAGACUCCUACGGGAGGCAGCAGUGGGGAAUAUUGGACAAUGGGGGCAACCCUGAUCCAGCCAUGCCGCGUGUGUGAAGAAGGCCUUCGGGUUGUAAAGCACUUUCAGUGGUGAGGAAAGGGUAACCGCUAAUACCGGUUAUCUGUGACGUUAGCCACAGAAGAAGCACCGGCUAAUUCCGUGCCAGCAGCCGCGGUAAUACGGAAGGUGCGAGCGUUAAUCGGAAUAACU